This 201-nucleotide long non-coding RNA is filed under the name Mytilus galloprovincialis (Mediterranean mussel). The record is from RNAcentral. Lineage: Eukaryota; Metazoa; Mollusca; Bivalvia; Mytilida; Mytilidae.
GCCCCUGGUGUGUCUCGGACAAUAACACUAAAUCAUCUGCAUAGCUGAGAGUUUGGAUACUUGAAGUAUCAAGAACUGGAGGGUUACAAUUUACAUCAAAAAUUGAAUGUAAAUCAUUUAUAUAACAAUUAAACAAAGUAGGACUUAAACUGUCCCCUUGUCUUACACCUCUAAUUAUUGGAAAAAACAAAGAGUGUUCAU